This is a non-coding RNA of Salvia hispanica, 1054 nucleotides long. The record is from RefSeq and is a predicted model, not a curated record. NCBI's taxonomy places the organism in Eukaryota, Viridiplantae, Streptophyta, Magnoliopsida, Lamiales, Lamiaceae.
UGAUCUCUAGUGUAUCACUCUUUUACUUCAAAUUCAAAUUGAAUUUCACCCAUGAAGGAAAAUGUGCAGUAGAGCUUCCGCUUCUGCAAUUGAUCCCAUUUACAGAAGAGGAUUUGCGGCUCCAUGGUCGCAAAAAUUGGCUCAUUUUAACCGCUGGCGCUUUCUCCACGUCAACAACCACUUCCGACAAAGAUGCGGUUGUCGGAGGCGACGCCAACCUGCCGUCCGAUUCGGUAAUGCGGUCGAGAUUCUUGAUCCCUAAUUCGGCGCCAGUAAUCAAAAGCGUCGUUAGCUUCUUGUGUUUCUUGACUGUGCUCUCACGCUUCUUGACAACCGAAUGGCCCCAUCUUGCGAGUGCGGAAAUCAGAACUCCGAAGGCAGCGGCGGCCACUGCAGCACCGAUGCUCUUGGGAACGGUGUUUACCGCGUAAACCACAGCGGCUGCGCAGAAGGCGACCGCUGUAGUGGAGAAAACAGAAAUCGCAAUUUUGACAAAAUUAAGGCACGAGAGUUGUUUGCUGAAGCCGUCGUCCACGGGUUUCACUGUCUUCUUCAUCUUAGAAUGCUCCGUAAGAAGACAGUCUAAAUAAAGGGAGAAAGUAGCAAAGAAUUGGGGAUCAUUUACGUUGAGUUCUGAGUAGAAGUUGGGGGCGUUGAGACUGUUCUGAUAGCUGUUGUUGACAAACUCCACCAAUUUGUCAUUCUUUGUAGGGUCCUUUUUCAGAUCAUGGAACGCCAAAUCAAAUUCACCAGCAACCAAGCGGGGGGUGGACAUCAAUUGAGCGCCGGAGCCCGUGUUCAUGUUGCUGCCCAUCACGGCUCACGAUGAGUGUAUCUGUGUAUGUGAUCAGAGGCGAUGGAGUCGAUUCUAAAAACAACUGUAGUUCAAGCUCAAAGCGGCGCUGCAAAUUAAGUAUAUAGUGAGUUGGGAGUCCAACUCAAUAAAUAGAACCAUCAUGAUUUGUCGUUAUAUUUACAAGAUUGUCAAUUCUCAAGGACGAUUCUGUUAAAAGUACUACUAUUAUUCAACGACCUGAACUCUUUCUGCUCUUAA